ACGCGACCCCAGGUCAGGCGGGGCUACCCGCUGAGUUUAAGCAUAUCAAUAAGCGG
RNAcentral lists this ribosomal RNA (56 nucleotides) under Ficus nervosa. RNAcentral's name for it is "partial 28S ribosomal RNA". The record is from RNAcentral. Lineage: Eukaryota; Viridiplantae; Streptophyta; Magnoliopsida; Rosales; Moraceae.